RNAcentral lists this ribosomal RNA (627 nucleotides) under uncultured Russulaceae. RNAcentral's name for it is "LSU rRNA". It matches the Rfam family "Eukaryotic large subunit ribosomal RNA", at positions 47 to 649 of the family's 3401-position model. Lineage: Eukaryota; Fungi; Basidiomycota; Agaricomycetes; Russulales; Russulaceae. The record is from RNAcentral.
UAAGCGGAGGAAAAGAAACUAACAAGGAUUCCCCUAGUAACUGCGAGUGAAGCGGGAAAAGCUCAAAUUUAAAAUCUGGUGGUCUUUGGCCAUCCGAGUUGUAAUUUAGAGAAGCGUCUUCCGCGCUGGACCGUGCACAAGUCUCCUGGAAUGGAGCGUCAUAGAGGGUGAGAAUCCCGUCUUUGGCAUGGACACACCAGGGCUUUUGUGAUGCGCUCUCGAAGAGUCGAGUUGUUUGGGAAUGCAGCUCAAAAUGGGUGGUGAACUCCAUCUAAAGCUAAAUAUUGGCGAGAGACCGAUAGCGAACAAGUACCGUGAGGGAAAGAUGAAAAGCACUCUGGAAAGAGAGUGAAACAGUACGUGAAAUUGUUGAAAGGGAAACGCUUGAAGUCAGUCACGUCGACCGAGACUCAGCCUUGCCUCGGCUUGGUGUACUUCUCGGCUGACGGGUCAGCAUCAAUUUUGCCCCUUGGAUAAUGGCGAGGGAAAUGUGACACCUUUAUGGUGUGUUAUAGUCUCUCGUCGCAUGCAAGGGUUGGGAUUGAGGAACUCAGCACGCGCCUUUUGGUGUCGGGGCUUUGCCCACGAUACGUGCUUAGGAUGUUGGCAUAAUGGCUUUAAACGACC